CGUGACUCUGCGCCAUCAUUGGCCGCUUGCGCUAGCCCAGCUCCGUGCGACCGCAGGGAGGGUUGGCAACACCUCUUCCCCUUCCGACAGAGAUGGAAAUCGAUCACAAUUGAUCUGCAGACAUGCAUCAGAAGUUUCUAGCUUUAACUGAAUCACUUUCUAGCAUCACUGAUAACUCACUUUGUAAAAAAAAACUUAGGCGAAAUAUUUGGUAAACUUGCAAAAAUACAUAUGCAGACACAUUUGGUGUGGUUGAUCUUCGUGGCAGAUCUGUCCAAAUGGCAGUAACCCAGGGAAGCUAGGUGAAAAGGCUCCUCAAAGGGAAAUAUUAGGAUGGUGGUAAUACAUUUGAAUCAUCGACUGCACCUUCUUGUAGUUAUUUGGAAUGCAUGGCUGAUGUAGUGAAAGCUCUUAACGUCGACGGAGCGUGCACUCACAUGAAAUCUUCCUUGGGUGGAAUUCGGAAAUUGGAAUGGUGGUAAUGGGCAGGAGAAUCUCUUUGUAUCAUUUUUCUCGACAUGGCAGCUGAAGUAAGGUUAUGGAACAUCUGAUUCUAGCAGUAUGCUCCAUCUGAAGAUGUUCCUUUAGUAGCUGAUUCUGCCAUAGGCAUUUUCAGCGCGGCCUUUGCUCACAUCACCUCCGUACUACCACGUAAUUCUCCCCAUCCUUCUCCACCUUGACGUGGUUGGUUAAGCGGUGCUCCUACAGGUGAGAGUGCCUACGAUCCAAUUCCUGAUAAAAUAUCAGGAGUCUUCUUUGUUGGGCCAAGUCAGGAGCAUAUAUGGAUAGUGGUCACCAUUGGAUGGGACCUUUCAAUCCGAAAUUGCUGAAAUAGUGAAGUAAAAUACAUCUCAAGCAUUGAGCAUUACUGAUGAAGACCAAGCCACUACAGGGGAUGCACUUGAUCUGCCAUCUUCCUCUGUGCAUUGGAACUCCUAGACAUGUCCGAAUAUUCA
Lolium rigidum is the source of this 956-nucleotide long non-coding RNA. RefSeq lists it as uncharacterized. Lineage: Eukaryota; Viridiplantae; Streptophyta; Magnoliopsida; Poales; Poaceae. The transcript is spliced from 6 exons. The record is from RefSeq and is a predicted model, not a curated record.